The sequence is a regulatory RNA element, 106 nucleotides long. It matches the Rfam family "PyrR binding site". From Rfam's summary of the family: This family represents the PyrR binding site and terminator structure. This RNA structure is found upstream of a variety of genes involved in pyrimidine biosynthesis and transport. The record is from Rfam.
AGCACCUUUUAAGAAAAGUCCAGAGAGGCUUGGAAGGGUGAAACACCGCUUGCUGUAGCGCUGUUUUGUCAUACCCUUUCCGCCUAACGGAGAGGGUAUUUUUUAU